RNAcentral lists this long non-coding RNA (925 nucleotides) under Oryctolagus cuniculus (rabbit). Its description in RNAcentral is "lncRNA (ENSOCUG00000034350.1)". Lineage: Eukaryota; Metazoa; Chordata; Mammalia; Lagomorpha; Leporidae. The record is from RNAcentral.
CUCCCCAUGUAGGAUCUCUGUCCUUAAUGUGUUGUACUUUGUGAAUUAACGGCAUAACUAGUACUCAAACAGUACUUUAUACUUUGUGUUUCUGUGUGGCUGCAAACUUGAAAUCUUUACUUAGUGUAUACUAAAUUGAUCUUCUGUAUAUAAAGAUAAUUGAAAAUGAAUCUUGAUGUGAAUGGGAUGGGAGAGGGCGUGGGAGAUGGGAUGGUUGCGGGUGGGAGGCAGGUUAUGGGGGGAAAUCCACUAUAAUCCAAAAGUUGUAGUUUGGAAAUUUAUAGUUACUAAAUAGAAGUUAAAAAAAGAAGAUGUGUCACUUCACAAGUAGACUGUUACCAGCAGAAAGUUCAUUUCUGCUAGUCUUCUCUGAUCCCCAUUCCCACUGAGUUCACUCCACUAGUUUUGUUUCACAUAGCUUAUAUGAAGUACUUCAUCUCUUCAAUCAUCUGCAUAGUUUUUUUGAGUACUUGGAUCAUAUUUGUCACCCAGUAUAAAUGAAAAUGGAGUUAGCAGAGUCUUCUUCUUUCCAUUAAUCUUAUUAACUUUCACUGAUAAACAAGAGAAUGAGGGAAAUUAUUAUCUUGUGCUGUGUUUUCAACUAAUUUUUGUUUUCCUGAUCAAACAGUUGGAUGAGUCCUCCACAAGAUUAAAAGGAAAAGACUCAUUUUCAGCAGAGACACUCUUCAGAUUCCCCAGGAAAGUGCAAUUGGAGCAAUACGUUUGGGAAUCUUUUCCAUGGAGCUAUGAAUUGCAGACCUAGCACGUCUUGGUGAAGACCUUAAGUGUAAGCGUGGUUUAAUUUCUGACAGGUGAAUAUCCUUGUGUUUUCUUUAUGAGUGAUUCUUCACUCCUGACAAGUUUCACUCUAAAUUCUGUCCAGUCUUAUAUUUGGUCCAAGAGAAAUUCCCUUGCUUAAUGAAUU